AUCACAAGUGGCAACCUGGGAUUCGAUCGAAGCAGAAUCAUUUUUGAGUUUUGACAGACAAAGAAAAACGUGGGUCGUAUGAUUAAAAUCUAUAGGCAAAGAAUCUCGUUUCGAAUUGACUGAAUCUGCUUAACAAAUUCUGUGCUGUAAAAUUUCAGUUUUUAGGUAAUUAUAACGAACUAUGUUAACGACUGACGAGGCCAUUAAAUACCAUAAACUGGACGGCACUGUGCGAAACACCAAACACUCCAGGAAGAAAUCCCCUGUACAGACCUCGAAUCCCUUCGUAACGAAAAAGUAGGAGCCCCAAGUGCAUCCGGCCGUCAGGAUGCCCAGUGUUACGCCUCUGUACAAACCGUGAACGCCAUCGGUUCUCGUGAUGCUCGUCAGGACGUCGACGAGGCCGCCGUAAUGAGGACGCUGAACACCAGCACAGAUCAAACGACUGCCACUUACUUUUCGGAGAGAAAAAUACAGAACAUGGGGAUGCAGGAUGGUAGUGGAAACUACUCCGCCUGCAAUUCCGGCUACGAGGUGUUCGUAUUUGAUCUGCUGAUAGCGACGGAAUAAGGCCGUCAUGGGACAACAAACACAAGAUGAG
RNAcentral lists this long non-coding RNA (601 nucleotides) under Daphnia magna. RNAcentral's name for it is "uncharacterized LOC116918766, transcript variant X1". The record is from RNAcentral. Lineage: Eukaryota; Metazoa; Arthropoda; Branchiopoda; Diplostraca; Daphniidae.